GACUUGGUUAUUUUUCCUAUUUAAAAACUUUGUCUUGUCUGAUCUCGGAAGCUAAGCAGGGUUGGGCCUGGUUAGUACUUGGAUGGGAGACCACCUAGGAAGACCAGGUGUCGUAGGCA
RNAcentral lists this ribosomal RNA (119 nucleotides) under Pteropus alecto (black flying fox). The record is from RNAcentral. RNAcentral also lists the same sequence under 1 other name. Lineage: Eukaryota; Metazoa; Chordata; Mammalia; Chiroptera; Pteropodidae.